RNAcentral lists this ribosomal RNA (763 nucleotides) under Porrhothele sp. QMB S111386. Its description in RNAcentral is "partial 28S ribosomal RNA". The stretch from base 477 to 763 matches the Rfam family "Eukaryotic large subunit ribosomal RNA", at positions 665 to 921 of the family's 3401-position model. Lineage: Eukaryota; Metazoa; Arthropoda; Arachnida; Araneae; Hexathelidae. The record is from RNAcentral.
GUGGGCCCUCGAAAUCCGUCGGCGGGGGAUUCAGUCGGGAAGUGCGGGCGCGUGCGCCGGUCGUUUCAUCGGACCCUUUCCUGGGCCGGGCCGGCGUCGCGAUCUCCGUGCGACCCGACGCAUUUCCUCCCGCCCCAAGGACGCCGCAGCCGGUUGGGUAGCUGCGCGAGUCGGCCAUAAGGACGGGCGCCGGAAGGUGGCCGGUGGCGUUCCUCGUGUUCGUCGCCGGUCGUUAGCCAGCCCGCCCGUGGCGCGACACCCGACCGAGGUCGAUGGGUCCAGGUUAGGACCUUGCCGUCCCCUCCCCUAUGGUUGAGCGGGCGCGCCUGCAGGCGUGCGUUCCGUGCGGCCGUUCCACUCUUGGAGUGGGCGGCUCGCGGAUGCCGCCGUUGGUGCGGAUGCGUCCCGCGUGGGGUUUUUUCCGGCGGCUUGCGGCGAGUAGGUCGGUCACCCACCCGACCCGUCUUGAAACACGGACCAAGGAGUCUAACAUGUGCGCGAGUCACGGGGUCUUGUUUAGGCCCAGAGGCGCAAUGAAAGUAAAGGUCGGCCUCGACGCCGUCCGUGUUGGGACUCUCCGCCUCGAGCGGGGAAGCACCAACGACCCGCCCUGUCCGAUUUAUCGGUUGGGCGGAGUGUGAGCGUACACGUUGGGACCCGAAAGAUGGUGAACUAUGCCUGGGCAGGACGAAGCCAGAGGAAACUCUGGUGGAGGUCCGUAGCGGUUCUGACGUGCAAAUCGAUCGUCAGACCUGGGUAUAGG